UUAAACAAGAUAACUUAUUUCAAACAUGAAAAGAAUGGGCAUAACAACUUUUCCCAUCGUUCUAACACAAUUAAAUCAAAUGGUAAAGUUAUUACUAUUAAACAGAUUUGGGUUCCAAAAGGAACCAUAUGUCCUAACUCUCAAGGACCCAAACAACCUUGGGUACCCAAAAUGAAAACAUGAGGAUGUAGACAUAGGUAUGCCAAGAUACCCAUGGAACAA
This 222-nucleotide long non-coding RNA is filed under the name Phoenix dactylifera (date palm). RNAcentral describes it as "long non-coding RNA (PDAC_LNC020965)". The record is from RNAcentral. Lineage: Eukaryota; Viridiplantae; Streptophyta; Magnoliopsida; Arecales; Arecaceae.